UACAGAGGGUGCACGCGUUAAUCGGAAUUACUGGGCGUAAAGCGCGCGUAGGCGGCUUUGCAAGUCGGGUGUGAAAUCCCCAGGCUUAACCUGGGAACUGCAUUCGAGACUGCAUUGCUAGAGUAUGGGAGAGGGAAGUGGAAUUUCCGGUGUAGCGGUGAAAUGCGUAGAUAUCGGAAGGAACAUCAGUGGCGAAAGCGACUUCCUGGACCAAUACUGACGCUCAUGUGCGAAAGCGUGGGGAGCAAACAGG
This 253-nucleotide ribosomal RNA is filed under the name uncultured bacterium. Its description in RNAcentral is "partial 16S ribosomal RNA". It matches the Rfam family "Bacterial small subunit ribosomal RNA", at positions 524 to 776 of the family's 1533-position model. The record is from RNAcentral.